GCGAAUGUAGCCAAGUGGAUCAAGGUAGUGGAUUGUGAAUCCACCACGUGCGACUUCAAUCCCCGUUGUUCGCC
RNAcentral lists this transfer RNA (74 nucleotides) under Gossypium arboreum. It matches the Rfam family "tRNA". Rfam says of the family: Transfer RNA (tRNA) molecules are approximately 80 nucleotides in length. Their secondary structure includes four short double-helical elements and three loops (D, anti-codon, and T loops). The record is from Rfam by way of RNAcentral. Lineage: Eukaryota; Viridiplantae; Streptophyta; Magnoliopsida; Malvales; Malvaceae.